This 483-nucleotide ribosomal RNA is filed under the name uncultured bacterium. Its description in RNAcentral is "partial 16S ribosomal RNA". It matches the Rfam family "Bacterial small subunit ribosomal RNA", at positions 30 to 507 of the family's 1533-position model. The record is from RNAcentral.
AUUGAACGCUGGCGGCAGGCCUAACACAUGCAAGUCGAGCGGAUGAAGGGAGCUUGCUCCUGGAUUCAGCGGCGGACGGGUGAGUAAUGCCUAGGAAUCUGCCUGGUAGUGGGGGAUAACGUCCGGAAACGGGCGCUAAUACCGCAUACGUCCUGAGGGAGAAAGUGGGGGAUCUUCGGACCUCACGCUAUCAGAUGAGCCUAGGUCGGAUUAGCUAGUUGGUGGGGUAAAGGCCUACCAAGGCGACGAUCCGUACUGGUCUGAGAGGAUGAUCAGUCACACUGGAACUGAGACACGGUCCAGACUCCUACGGGAGGCAGCAGUGGGGAAUAUUGGACAAUGGGCGAAAGCCUGAUCCAGCCAUGCCGCGGGUGUGAAGAAGGUCUUCGGAUUGUAAAGCACUUUAAGUUGGGAGGAAGGGCAGUAAGUUAAUACCUUGCUGUUUUGACGUUACCAACAGAAUAAGCACCGGCUAACUUCGUG